Molecule: ribosomal RNA, 584 nt
Filed under: uncultured bacterium
Lineage: Bacteria
Description: bacterial SSU rRNA
Rfam family: Bacterial small subunit ribosomal RNA
Source: RNAcentral
CCUACGGGAGGCAGCAGUCUAGAGGCUUCGCAAUGGGGGAAACCCUGACGAAGCAACGCCGCGUGGAGGAUGAAGGCCUUCGGGUCGUAAACUCCUGUCGACCGGGAAGAAUGCACCCGACCUAACACGUCGAAGUGUUGACUGUACCGGUGGAGGAAGCCACGGCUAACUCUGUGCCAGCAGCCGCGGUAAUACAGAGGUGGCAAGCGUUGUUCGGAAUUACUGGGCGUAAAGGGCGCGUAGGCGGCCCGCCAAGUCCCGUGUGAAAGCCCCCGGCUCAACCGGGGAACGGCGCGGGAAACUAGCAGGCUUGAGUUCGGGAGAGGGAAGCGGAAUUCCGGGUGUAGCGGUGAGAUGCGCAGAUAUCCGGAGGAACACCAGUGGCGAAGGCGGCUUCCUGGCCUGUUCUUGACGCUGAGGCGCGAAAGCUAAGGGAGCAAACGGGAUUAGAUACCCCGGUAGUCCUAGCCGUAAACGAUGGACACUAGGUGUUGGUGGUAUCAACCCCGCCAGUGCCGAAGCUAACGCAUUAAGUGUCCCGCCUGGGGGGAGUACGGCCGCAAGGCUAAAACUCAAAGGAAUUG